RNAcentral lists this ribosomal RNA (501 nucleotides) under Triticum aestivum (bread wheat). RNAcentral's name for it is "partial small subunit ribosomal RNA". Lineage: Eukaryota; Viridiplantae; Streptophyta; Magnoliopsida; Poales; Poaceae. The record is from RNAcentral.
AUGUCCCAUCCAUCCUCCUGCCCGCCGCCACCUACCUGCCUUCUAUCUCUCGGGAUCCAUCCCGCCGCCACCUGGUCUGCCCUUGGUUCCAAUGCCGACCAAUCCCCACCGGAUUCCUUCGAUCCAACCAUGCACCGAUCCAUCCAACCACCACAGCAAGCUUCUUCCCCGAGUUCCCCGCUCCCAUGUGUGUCCAGCACCAAGGAGAGGAGCUCCUCCAGCCCCCGAUCCAACGCGCAGGCGCUCGAGCGCCUCCUCAUCUCGUCCCCGCGCCGCUCGUCGCCAGAAGCCAGCAGGAGGAGCCCCGCCUCCGCUCGAGGGCCUCGCACGACCUUGCACACCUCCACCGGCCGGCGACCUCACCUGAACCUCGUCGGCGAGCAGCCCGCCAGGAUAGUCCAGUCCGCUCGUCCUAGCCUCCUCUAUGCCCCACCCGCGCCCGAGCUUCCCCAGCCGUGCGCCUCCUCCCUCUUCCAGCGGAGUCCCUUCCUCCCCGUGUAA